AAUGAACGUUGGCGGCAUGGAUUAGGCAUGCAAGUCGAGCGAGAAGGGUUUUGAAGCUUGCUUUAGAACCCGGACAGCGGCGAAAGGGAGAGUAACGCGUAGUUAUGUGCCCUAGGGUCCGGAAUAGCCACGGGAAACUGUGGGUAAUGCCGGAUAAUAUCCCCGGAUCAAAGGUGUGAUUCCGCCCUAGGAGCAGACUGCGUCCUACUAGCUAGUUGGUGGGGUAAUGGCCCACCAAGGCAACGAUGGGUAGCGGGUGUGAGAGCAUGACCCGUCUCACUGGGACUGAGACACUGCCCAGACACCUACGGGUGGCUGCAGUCGAGAAUCUUCGGCAAUGGGCGAAAGCCUGACCGAGCGAUGCCGCGUGCGGGAUGAAGGCCCUCGGGUUGUAAACCGCUGUCGUAGGGGAGGAAGAUUUCGUGAAGAGCGAAAUUUGACCUAUCCUAGGAGGAAGUACGGGCUAAGUUCGUGCCAGCCGCCGCCGUAA
Molecule: ribosomal RNA, 490 nt
Filed under: uncultured bacterium
Lineage: Bacteria
Description: partial 16S ribosomal RNA
Rfam family: Bacterial small subunit ribosomal RNA
Source: RNAcentral